RNAcentral lists this non-coding RNA (46 nucleotides) under Trichobilharzia regenti. Lineage: Eukaryota; Metazoa; Platyhelminthes; Trematoda; Strigeidida; Schistosomatidae. The record is from RNAcentral.
GUACUGAUGAAGAGUCCCAAACUAGGAUGAAACAGCUGUCCAGUGC